RNAcentral lists this long non-coding RNA (2574 nucleotides) under Malus domestica (apple). RNAcentral's name for it is "long non-coding RNA (MDOM_LNC009224)". The record is from RNAcentral. Lineage: Eukaryota; Viridiplantae; Streptophyta; Magnoliopsida; Rosales; Rosaceae.
UUGGAUAGGUAACCAACCGUCAUCGCCGCAGUGCUGUUGAUGCCAACGGAAGAUGCUGCGAGAUCGGCUGAUUCUACGAUGACAGAGCUAUCUAUGCCAACUGAAGAUAUCACCGGUUGCUUUCACAGUGCUGUUGAUUCCAACGGAAGAUGUGUUAGCGAAAAGAGAAAAUAAAAAUCUUAAAGUUGCUGAGAGAGUUUGCGCAGGGCAGUUGUGUGUUGAAUUGGAGGUCAUUCUUCCGUUGCCUCUGCUUCUGUAUUUAUAGGGACAUAUGCGAGUUGGUUGAUAAGCUGAUAUAGGCUUCUGCCAUGUAUUAGAACUCUUCCACUGAUUCGUCAGAUAAGCCAUACUACCCCCAAGACUCUGAAUCUAGUCGAAAAUACAACCAAAUUCGAAUUCCAAGAUAACCCGCAAGCUUGGAUUUUGAACAAAUAGUGUUUAUCUAAACAACUACCAAUAUAUAUAUAUAUAUAUAUAUAUAUAUAUAUAUAUAUAUAUAAUUAUAUACAUAUAUAAUUGGUAGUCUUCCACAUGGCAUACACCACUGUAAUCCCACUAUAAAUUCUCAUGACUUUGCACCCAAUCCGACAACACCAUCAACAUGCAUUUGAAAAGCCUAGCCUAGCUAGGUUUCCUAUGUCAUCAUUAUCUAGGACCCUUACUUUUCUUUAGGUGAUGUCAGAUCCCACGUGCUGAUCUCCCAGCAACCCAAGUUAAUUCGAACUCGAACUCUGUUGUUGUUGCUUCCUUUUAUAUCCUGUCAUAUAAGAAAAGGAUAAAGAUAAUUAUUAUGAUAAAAAUCAUAACAUUAUCCCUCAAUAAUUACAAAACUAUCUUCACUCUUUGAUCGACGGUGUAGAAACACGCUUACUCAAUGGCCUUGAUUACACGGGCCGAUGGUGUAAAUUUGGGUCCAAACAUGGCUCUGUUAAAACCAAGGCUUGAAAUGAUGUUGUCAGCCAUGUCUUUAUCACACUUCUUUCUAACUUGACUAAAGCUAUGGUCAAAGAAACAUGUGGUCGAAACCUUCAAACUGUACCACCUAUGCCCCCUUUAUUUUCUUAAGCAUCGGCUAAGCAGCCGAAUGGUUAAGAAAAUUAGAUAUAUAUAUAUAUAUAUAUAUAUAUAUUUUUUUUUUUUUUUAGCAAAAGAAAACACAAGUGGCCGACCUAUCAAAAGGAGGAGGCCAACGAUGUUUUACUCCAAGCCGAGAUCUUUUUACAUCAAAAUUUUCACUUUGACAUUUUCUAAAGCCGAAUAAAAGAUUAUCUCCAAAUAUUUCCGACUUGGUGAAAUAUUUUUCAUUUUCGGCCGCCGAAUGUGUUGAACAAUUAUUAUGCCCUCCAGGCAUAAUUUCGGCUUUUAACUCGAAUAACUUAGCCGAAUGGGAUAUCUCUAUAUCGGCUUUAUCGCCAAUAACCAUAUCGACUGUCAUAGUUUCGACGUCUAAGACGAUGUCUCCAAUUACCAUAUCAAUUGAUGUGGUUUUAUGGUGAGAAGUUGUGUAUUGGUCUUGUUUGUCAUUGGAGCACUCCUCUGAAGAAUCAUUUUCUGAGUCAAUUUGUGGCUCAGAAAUUUGAACUUUUUCUUCUAGGCCUACCACACUUUCAAACUUGACCGAAAAAAUAGGUGGCCUUUGUUCUUCGGCCAAAUUAACAAUUUUCUUAGGCCGAAUAUUGGUUGUGGCCGGAGCGAAAAUUUUCCCCCCGGCCUCUUGCCUUUCAGAAAUUCUUCCCAAACUCUCGAGGAGUUGUUUUUGCUUCUUUAAUAGGAGAUGACACUCUUCCUAAUAAAGCCUGAUCGAGAUAGAUCAUGUGAACUUCGUAGUUUUAGCAUUGGGUCUCACUGGGCGUGCCAAAAUGUUGACCCUAAAAACUACCAAGCCUACGUGGGGCGCAGGCCGAGUAAUCUAUAAACUAACUACGUCCUUCGGUGAAUGCCGGGCGUGCUAACUCAUCGGCCGAGCUCGGCCGAGGAGUAAAUUUAUUGAUGUUGUGUUGGGUGCGCGGCUGACUUCUGCGUCUUGCAAUUGCGACCGAGGAAGGAACACGUCUCGGCCUCUUGGGUUCUCGAACCUGAAGACAAGGCUACUAUUCUUACGAAGUUCAAUAUCAAAUUCAGUUUUCAAUGUGCCGAAUGUAAUAACUUGUAACACCUCACUUCGUCGAGAAAGCUAAUGAGAUGACCUCGACCAAUAAGGAUUCGGAAAUCCUUCCCAACUGAGACUUGGAUAGGUAACCAACCGUCCUCGCCGCAGUGUUGUUGAUGCCAACGGAAGAUGCUGCGAGAUCGGCUGAUUCUACGAUGACAGAGUUAUCUAUGCCGACUGAAGAUAUCACCGGUUGCUUUCACAGUGCUGUUGAUGCCAACAAAAGAUGUGUCAGCGAAAAGAGAAAAUAAAAAUCUCAAAGUUGUUGAGAGAGUUUACGCAGGGCAGUUGUGUGUUGAAUUGAAGGUCCUUCUUCCGUUGCCUCUGCCUCUGUAUUUAUAGGAACAUAUGUGCGUUGGUUGAUAAGCUGAUAUAGGCUUCUGCCAUGUAUUAGAACUCUUCCAUUGAUUCGUCAGAUAAGCCAU